This 403-nucleotide long non-coding RNA is filed under the name Androctonus crassicauda. The record is from RNAcentral. Lineage: Eukaryota; Metazoa; Arthropoda; Arachnida; Scorpiones; Buthidae.
UCUUUGAAGGAGACUGAAAGAAUUUUGUAAAAAACUUAAUGAAUUGGCUUUUCGGAGCGGAAGUCCGGUUAUUUUUGGUCCUCCCUCAUAUAUAUCAUUCUUGUGGCCUACACAGGCAGGAGGUUUAUGUAGGGAAUACUAUGAGAUCUCUUAAACUUGGAUUAACAGAACAUAAAAGAAAUAUAGAAAAAGCAGAAUUUAAAAUAGCAUUAGUGAAAACUUUUUAUCAAAAUAAUAUAGAAACCUAUUGGGAUAGAGCAAAAAUCAUUAGAACAGUAAAAUCAGUAGAUGAAAUUAAAUGAACAGAAACAUUUAGAAAUUAUGAAAUAUUCUCAAAGAAUGCACAUAAUAAAUGGUAAUUUACCAGAAAUAAUCCCUGCACCACAGUCUUCAAACAUGCAGC